CAAGGGAGGUCCAUGAGUCAGCAAAAUGGCCAGCAGUAUUCUGAAAGCGCCUUUGUUCUUAAAAGCAAACAUUUGGACACAGUUUUAUAAUGAAAAAUAUAUAAUAUCCCUUUAUAAUAUUUUGCUGAUUUUGUCGAGUCACUGGCAGUGAGCACCCUAGUGUCGAUCUUCAGCUGUGACUUUGUGAAAGACRAGGYACAUUGUGGAAAAGUCAUUCAAAGAAGAAAACCUGAGUAACUAGAAAAAACCCAUGCAUGGAGACAACAUGAAAAGUCCACACAGAAAGCCCCAGGCCAUGAGGCGAUCCUGCAACCUUCUCUCUGUGAAGUGACAGUUCUAACCAUUGAGUGGCCAUGCUGCCUUAUAACAAACAUUAGUUUGGAAAAGGUUGUCUAGCAGAGGAAAGCCAAUAGCUUGAACUGAAACGUCACUCAUUCAGUCCUCRUCCUGAGGGCAGUAGAUGACAGCAGAGAAAAUAAUUAUUUCUUUAACAGGAAGGAACCUGCAGCAGGACCAGGCUCGGGAUGAACGGCCAUCUGCCUCAACCAGCUGGUUGUUAAUGUUAU
Austrofundulus limnaeus is the source of this 566-nucleotide long non-coding RNA. RefSeq lists it as uncharacterized. Lineage: Eukaryota; Metazoa; Chordata; Actinopteri; Cyprinodontiformes; Rivulidae. The record is from RefSeq and is a predicted model, not a curated record. The transcript is spliced from 3 exons.